CAGUCAUACCGGCGGAUAAUUAGCCUUUCGGGUGCGAUUCUGUGGGGCGUGAGGAGCUUAACCGCCUUCAUGUUUUGCAUAUUCGUGCACAUUUGGUGUACUUGUCCGUGUGGUGGGUUAACA
RNAcentral lists this ribosomal RNA (123 nucleotides) under Glomus sp. (unid). Lineage: Eukaryota; Fungi; Glomeromycota; Glomeromycetes; Glomerales; Glomeraceae. The record is from RNAcentral.